RNAcentral lists this ribosomal RNA (253 nucleotides) under uncultured bacterium. Its description in RNAcentral is "partial 16S ribosomal RNA". It matches the Rfam family "Bacterial small subunit ribosomal RNA", at positions 524 to 776 of the family's 1533-position model. The record is from RNAcentral.
UACAGAGGUCCCAAGCGUUGUUCGGAUUCACUGGGCGUAAAGGGUGCGUAGGUGGCCAGGUAAGUUUGAUGUGAAAGCUCGGAGCUUAACUCCGAAAUGGCAUUGAAUACUAUCUGGCUUGAGGGUCGGAGGGGAGACUGGAAUUCUCGGUGUAGCAGUGAAAUGCGUAGAUAUCGAGAGGAACACCAGUGGCGAAGGCGACACCCUGGACCAGCACUGACACUGAGGCACGAAAGCGUGGGGAGCAAACAGG